CCCCUCUUAGGAUUGCACCUGGAGAGUUUCCAGUCCUCUACCAGUCUCGGCUAGGGGACAGUCAAGCAGAGGCCUACCCAUUUCAUUCCUAGCUUGGUCAGUGGCUAGUGAGUGGAAGGCAAUCUGCUACAAGU
This is a small nucleolar RNA of Tachyglossus aculeatus (Australian echidna), 134 nucleotides long. The record is from RefSeq and is a predicted model, not a curated record. Lineage: Eukaryota; Metazoa; Chordata; Mammalia; Monotremata; Tachyglossidae.